Molecule: long non-coding RNA, 8660 nt
Organism: Monomorium pharaonis (pharaoh ant)
Lineage: Eukaryota; Metazoa; Arthropoda; Insecta; Hymenoptera; Formicidae
Exons: 2
Source: RefSeq, a predicted model, not a curated record
UGUAUGAUAUAUUUUGCCCAUCAUUCAGCAGUCAGUAGUUUAAUAUUCACGUUUACGAUAAAAUGGAGCCAAGGAGUAGCGCGCUCGAAAGGAUGCGGGAAGAUCGAUGAGCUGCUCUCUCACCAAGCGCACUCAGGUGCGCAAGAGUACAGGUGUACAGUGUGCACGUGUGCACAUCGUUCCGUGCGCAAGAAGAAACGGACCCGAACGGAGGAGAGGACGAGGCGCAGAUCGAGAGAGAAGGCGAAGGAGAUACGAGGCACAGAUAAAUCGGCGCCUGCGAUCGGUGCAUCCGGCUCGCGGAGAGGAUUAGGAUUCUCGGCGCUGAUUUUGUGCAACUUGCCGCCGCGAUCGGCGGGCCACGAGGGGGCGGAGAAGGAGGCGAGACGACGGGGUGCGCAAUACGCGCGAAAACGCGACGGGUAAUUUAUACGUAUGAAAAGAUGUUGCAAAAGACACACGUCGGGCUCGUCGAGAUUAAAACGAAGAGAAUAGCUGCCGUCGCGAUAAUAAGCGCCGACAAUGGAUGCGCUUCCCGAAGCGGGAGAGUCCGCCGCGUCAGGGGCGUUAAGGUAAAAAUUGUUACAGCGCGAUAGACACGGAAUUUAGGUCGCGGUAAGGAGUAAACCGGAGAGGCGGGAGGCCGUAGGUAAAUAUUUCUUCACACCACAAUCUGGAAUCGGGCUAAUGUAGGUCGAGCGUUACUUUACUUCAAUCAUUAAUAUAUUUACCUUCAUAAGCGAGCGGAUGUAACGCGCAAUUUAUAUCCAGGCGAAAUCGUGAGGAAUAAGGCAUCGCCAAGGGUAUUUGUUAAGAUUAGAUAUUAGAUAGAUCCGGACAAUAUUAAGCAAUAACCGUCUCGCGGACAUAUGUGUGUGUGUGUGUGUGUAUGCAUGUACGUUAUUAUCAUAGUAUGUAUUAUUACAGUUUAUUACCGGAGAGAAAUAUUACUUGAUGGUGCAUUUAUCUCCACUUUGUUUGAUUAAUUUAAAGUCUCGAUUCUCGUAAAUCACCCUGGGAAUAUUCUGUAACGCAGAAAGGUUUAGUAGAAAAAACUUAUUAUUUAGAUUUACGCAAAUAUCCCGAAAUAUUGUUAAACGGUGCGCGCGCGCUGAUCUCUCUCUCCUCGUUUUCCACGCGAUAAUCGCUGAUUGACGAGGCCCGCGAGGUAGAGUUCCCUCAAUAUUAAUCGUCUUCGGGGCUUCGUCGCGACACCCAGGCGCGAUCCAUCGUCGACGAGGGAGGGGGAGAGGAGAGGCAGGUGCGGCCCCGCUUACCACGAUGGUACCAACGUGUCGCCCUCGGUCCUCUCGGCGAAAUCGUGAUCCAGCAUGCAACAACGCCGGCCAGAAGAAUUUCAGGGGGGGAGGGUCGGGUGAGACCGGUUCCUCCCGAAAAAUUGGCGCCGAGCUGACCACGUUUCGGGUCAAAGAACGGCCUUGCCUCUCGUCCGUCUCUCACUCCCGCGGCCUCCUCUCUACCUUUCCCGUCGUGACUGCUCCUCGAGCUUUUGGCGUCCUCGCGAUUCUCCCUCCUCACCUUGAUUCGCCAUCGGCACCACCGUCACGACGUCAGUGGCGUAAACAGUGAUCUUAUGUCAGCGGAAAAAAACAUAAUAAAACGACGAUGAUAAAGAUGUAAAUAAUAUUGCGUGUCUCACGAUCGUGGGAUACACUGCGAUAUGGUAUCACCUCGCGUAUCGAGCGUUUCUCAUACUCAAGUCGAAAAAUCGAUGCUUGUUUCUCUCAGAAUUAGGAAACUUUAUGGCGAAAUGUUCACGGUCUCGUUUCCUUAAAUGGUAAGAAUCAAAAAGAUCUUUACCAAUUGGUUUCUGCGGACUGUAUUUGAUGGGCCUUAUGCAAAUUCUAACCUGAAAUUCGACAUUAGCAUAGACCAAAUCGUAUUUCAAACGAGUGAUUAAAUACAUUGCCACUUAACGACCGCUAGUGGAUCGCAUCCUUGACGAAGUGCGGACGGACAAGAAGAGUAACUUUCGACAGACGUGGCCUUUUCUCGUGGCUUCGCGAGCAAAGUUGUUCACGUAAACAGAAAUUUGAAAUUGAGUUACGGCAGAUCAGUUACAUUAUCGAACAGAUAAUACUGUACACUCUGUCCUGCGCAUAGGGAAUCCAUAAGGCAAUAAUAAGGCCGAGCUCUCUGCAGAUCCAGUUCGAGAAAGCGCAACAGUUGUAAUCUCAGAUAAUUUUGCGCGAACAUACACGGCCGUAGAUAGCCGCUGACUUAUUACCGAUUUGUUCGCUUCAGAUGUGCGAUGACUUUAUCCAAUAUCAAUUACGCGUGCUUCGUCGUAACUCAUUUAAGUCUUACCGCAGCCUUAAGACAAGCAGUCACGUGCGAUUCGGACCGCAGAUGUUCCCGUCAAACUUUUUUAUCAAUAUUUAUACGAGAAAUUCACCUUACAAAACCUGCUCCUGUUCAUUAUAGUUACGCGCUAUGAAGAUCUCAAGUGCCGCACACGUGAAGAAAUACAAACGCAGGACGGAACAGGUAUUAUCUCCUCAGUGCUCAUAAAUAUUGCGCAACGAAGCGCAUGUGAAUAACGCAAUGACGUUAAUAACGCGAGGUCGAGGUUGAUUGGUCGUACGUUGAGGUUUUCACGAGGGAGAGAAUCGAGUUUUUCGUCGUUAAGCGAUAUAAAUAUCGGUAUGAGUAAUCCGCGGAGUAGGCGAGUAAUGCGCGCGUGGAAAAUCGCAUCGGCGCGCCGCUGAAUGGACGAUAAUAAUAAUAGCUCUACUUUCGUAGCGGAAUUGCAAAUUGCGCCCCGGUGUAAUGGUCCUUUUCGUUCGAAGGCGCGUGCGGCCCGGACGCCGCGAGCGCGCAGCGGAUCGUCGUUGCGCACUGUCGAUGCCGGCGUGCAUACGCGCCGCCGCUCGUUACGCAAUUACCGAGAGAGAAGGAGACCGCGAGAGAAGGGGGAUACGCGCGCGGAGGAAGGACUGGCGCGCCGCGACCGCCAAAAGUGAAAUCGGAUGGAAGAAGACCGAGCGGAGAUAGAGCGCUUCGAGAUGGCUAAGUCAAAAAAGGGAAGUGAAACCGAGUAUGCAGCUGCCCCUUGACGCGUAUCUCUCGUGUUGCUUAGGAAAUCAAGUGAAGUAUCGAUCUCGCGGCGCUGUAAAAACGUUAGUAGUGAUAGUUCUAUUGGUCUUAACACUUCUGCUUAUGUAAUUUGUAACGAAAGCUAGAAGCAGACUCGGUAUAUACUUGCGAACGCAUCUCGUGAAAUUAAUUAAGUUUAAUUAUUAGUUUAAACUAAGCACGUAUAUUAGAUUUCGAAAUAAUAUUUAAUAAGCAGAUUUAAUAAAUGUCACUUAAAUCCUGAUGACUUUAACACAAGUCCAGUAAAACGACUCUACGUCGUCGUUUAAUGUUGCAUUAUGGGAGAAUAAAAGGCGAGUGUGUACUGUGAUACGCAAAGAAAUACCACGGUAGCACGAACAGGAACGAGCUCGCGGGAAUAUUCGGGUUAUCGAUACCUAGAAUCAAAAAGAAUGCCUUUUCCGGUACCUUGUUAAAGGACCACCCGCGUGCACAAUCUCUGCCGUAGACUACACGAAAACUGCGCGAGCGAUCGCAACCCUGUUAACGUUAUGCUUGCGCAAACUGCGCCGCCGAUGACCAUUGUUCUCAAAGCAAGCCUAUCGUUGACUUCUCAUAAGAAUUGCGGGGCGUAGAGAAUUUUUUCGGUUUCGUCCAAUUUAGCGCUUAUCCAGUUUUACUGAUCUGAAAGCGAGCGAGUAUGAAAAGAGCUCUAAGCAAUUUAGCAGUGAUGAAAAUUACAGAUUAUCAUUACAGCAAAUCGACAUUUCCGGUUAUUUUCCAAGGUACAUUACCUAAUCAUAUUCUAAUACGGAAGCAUUUGGCAAUUUGCUUCCUUAAUGACUCUAUCUUAAUGCUUUAUCUAGCAAGAAUCAGUGUCAAUUAAAUUCUAAACAGAUAUGUAAAGAUUUAUAUGUCAUAAAAUAUUUCCCUGUAAAAUACCUAGUACAAAAAAUUCCAAAUAAAUUGCAUUUCACUAAGUUGCACUUUGAUACUUUAAAUUCUUAAAUACGGUGAAAAUUUAUAUGUGCCGUAAAAACAAAAGAGCCGCGUGUCAAGGCUACACAUAUCCUGAAUAUUAUUUUUUUAUUUUGUGGCAAACCGUUAAGAUUCGCAAUCCUGCGACUUUGACCUUUGAUCAGCAAGGCAGGUAUCUCUGCGGCAGUUACGUUUAAAAGUCCAAAUACCUUUCGUUUUAGUAGGGAAUUUUACAGAAGAUAAUUUAUUGCAAUUCCGAUGUAACAUUCCCAAUUAAAAUUAUGAUAAAUAAUGGUAAUACAAACAGAUAUAUAAUGUUGCAGCUAUAUCUAUCAUUCUUCGAUUCUUUUAAUAUCACAAGUUUUUUUCCUCAGUACAUAUUUCCCAAUAGAUAGUUAAAUAAAAAAAUUAAAACAAAAAUUUUUUGUAAUAAAAUUUUCUAUUUUAUAUAUCUAUAACGUGAUUAAAUAUUGACGAUUCUUUACACGUCUUAUCAAGAUACAGGCGUCAAUUAUUAUAAUCGAAUCGUCGAAACAAUUUCACGUACAUAUAUAAAAAACGUUAUUUAAAAAAAUAAAAAUUAACAUGAAAUUCUUAAAUGGAUUAAAUUCCUGAAUACCGUUAUGAGCAAACGGUAUUUUAUAUUUAUAUCGCUCUUACAAAUUACCUUCUAGGAUGUGCUUAAAAAAUUGUCAAUGCAUCUGAAAUACGACGAAAUGAAAUUUACAUUUUGCCGAAUACAUCGUAAAUAUCAUUCGGUAAUUCUAAUUAAUGGAUUCGGUAUCGAUUCUUGCGUCAAUUUACCACAAUUUAUAUUAUUUGGUUAUCACCGAUUUUAAUAAAAUACAGAAGCGUAGAACUCGCUCCUCAAAGGCGUUAAAUGCCACAGCGCUCAUAUACAACUGUUUUGUAAAUAUCUCCUUGACAUGCUUGCGCACAAAAAUGUGUGUACGCGGACGGGAUCGUUACGAGCGUUCGAUUACGUUUAAGUGCAUCAUUAUAUCCUGUUUUUAAGCGAUACUGCAAAAUAUCGCCGAUUGGUCGCGCGGCAGUUAAAACGCAUAACUAAUAAUCCUCGGUCACAUAGGAAACGACGACGUCUAUUACUGCGACGCAUAGUAAAAUACGUCGCGUAAUAUGCUCGGAAUGCACCUGUUAGGGGAUGAUUCGCUCGUAAAUUUUUACGAGGCGCGCGAAAGAAUUUUAAUGUGCGCGCAAUGACAUCCGCCCUUACGCAACUAUUAAUACGGCAAAUAAUCACGCGGCUCAUAUUCGCCUCCGCAGCGCUACUUAAAAGCAAUUUCAUGUCGCUGAUAAUUACUCUCCCUUAGGUGGACCAUUAUCCCCAGGUGUUGUAUUACACGCGUGGCUAUCCAUUUGUCUUCUGCGUUUACACCGCGGUCCCGCAGGCGGGAUGAAACUGGCGGAUUACAUGAAUUUUUCGCUAUCAAUGCAAUAUCAUAAAGUAUUAUCAUCAUCAAUUUCUUUCUUUUUACUUUCAUGCCUGUCGUAUAUCACCGAUAUGACGUGUAUACCGCUAAUUACUAGCAAACUGUCACUCUCGGUAACGCUCUCUCCUUGUCCCCCACGAUUAAGAACACGCUAUGGUAACCGGGGGGAUUAAUUGUCGGUUGCUGAAGUACACUCGGAUUGGGAAAUAAAACUUAUUUCACGUUAUUAUUACACGCCCGAUAAUUUUCUCUCCGACUGUCGUUAAUUUCAUAAAUUUAUUUUAAUUAAGACUGAUCACACACAGAUAACUUUAAUCUGCCUUAUUUUUCAUAAUCGGCGUAUCCCGCGCAAUCGAAGCGAAAAGAUAUCUUUUAUUGAUAUCACGAUAGAUACCGCGAUCGUCGAGCAAAUUAAUUUCAUCGGUUGCCGCAUCCGAGAACUCGGCCGACACUCGCGAGGAGCGAAAACGUCAGUGCGACUAAGCCGCUAGUUGAAAAUCGCUCGGAUCGCGAUUAUUGAUCUGGGUCGGCGCGAGGCACCUUUCACGCAUCGGUCGAACGUUACUCAACAUUAAUCGUUACAAUUUCUUUGUUCGUGCUCGGGAACGACGGGAAGAAAAUUACAGCCGCGUGUUUACGCAUCGUCAAGAUCAACGACGUCACCGUCAAACCACGCGCCUCGACAAUAAGACAAUUCGUAGCGUCGCUCGUUGCUCGUGAAAAACCUAGGCACGUCGAACGCGGCGGCGAAAUAAGAAAUUGCCGAGCAAACCAGAAACCCUUGGGAUCGUUGAGAAAGAGUGUCUUCCACACUCGUCAAGGGGGACUACACGUCGUUGAGAGGAGCGACGCUGUGGUGGACGAUCGUUGCAGAGACGGCUACGCCGAGUAUUGGGAAACGACGUGCGAGCAGCGAGGUUGAUCCGGGAUCGCUUCCACGACGAACGGCGAAUGGCGACGGCGGCGGCGCUCGCAGUAGGUGACACUACGUCGGUGUCAAGGACUCCGAAGGAUGAACAAGAAGUCUAUACCGAGAUUUAUUGGGUUAUUUGCGUAUAUGUUACAAGGCUGCGCGCGGCCAAGUGACACCCGUGGCAAAUCGCGCCGCGCGGUGGGUGCCCAAUCCGUGUUCCUUCUUCCGCGCGAAUGUAUCAAUCGGUGCCAUUGAUUGUAAUUAAUGACGGUUUAAUAACGAUUAGAUCGGCUCGGAACAGAUAAACGCUGUCUCGUCGCAUGCCUCAAGUGACAAUGCACAAUUUAUAUACGCGGGUAAUAAUUCUAAUGACGUUUUCUAAUGACCAGCGUUAACCUACUUAUAUAUUUCUUAUCUUCAGAAAAAUAUCUUUUCUCAAAGGGAAUUAAAUUUCAAUUUGUAGUUGUUUCCUUAGAUUAUGUAUCGCUGAUUAUCUUUUUCAUAGAUAAAGAUUUAUUAUGAAAGUGCGUCGGCAAAAUUGCACAUCACCGAGAUGCAAUUUUUCGAACGUCACAACUUAUUAAAGUUUCUCGUACUCUGAAACGGAAUAAUUAUUAAUAACAAGCCAAAUUUCAAGCUAGCAAUUUAUAUAAUAAUGAUGAUGCAAAAUAAUGCAGUUUACAGUUAUCGGAGUGCUGUUACAAUUACGAUCGUCAACAAUAAUCGGCUCUCACUUAAUUAAGUCUUGACUAACUUGGUCACAAGAAUCAUCAAGUGCGAUUCGUAACUGCAGUAAUGUAAUUGCAAGAUGGAUUAUCUUUUAUUUCGGCGAUUCUUUUAUCAGCUAUUACGAUCCUGUUGAAGGAUCCUUUAACCGCAAUCCAACAAAGAUUAGUGCUUAUAAGUCAUUAAGAAUAUUCCGUAAACUCAUUAUCGAUUUUCGAUUUCUUUGAGCUUCUGAUGAUAGAGCAUCUCUCACAUUUCGUUAAAUUUCAGAAUAUAUACGAGGCCAGCCACGCGCUAAUGAGGGACUAUUAUUUGGUUAAGGACAUCGUUACCGCAAGAAACGAGAAUACAAAUUCGCUACGUAGCGCGGGAAUCUUUCGUAACGCGACAAUUCUGCGCUGCUCGAAAUAUGAAGAGAAAUUGCGGAACGGCCGACGCGGACGCGGCACGCACGGCCGUUUUUCGGCACAAUUACGUUCGUCUGUCUUAAAGCGGGCUUUAUUAUAUUUUUCUCGCGAAUCGGGCAAUAAUAUUGCAAAAUUACCGGUUCUUGCGCACAACGGCGUCGAUCGUCAGCUGCACAUUCUCUAACUGCAUAGUAAUUGCUGCGAUGACCCCGGCGCGCAGGCAAUGCAACUUCUAUAUUUCAUAACUGACAAACGUAUCAGAUGAGGGAGAGACCGUGGGGCGAGAGCUAUAAAAUAAUUAAAAUCUCUGCAAAUCUUUCUCGUUUUAUGGAAGCAAUCAAAAACGUACCACGUUCUCAAACUACAAAAAUGUAUACGGACGUAAACUGACAUUUAAGGCUAAAUACGGCACGCGUACGUAUGCAAUUACGAUUAAAUGAGACUUUCAUAACAGUACACAACACAAAUAAAGUUUCUGAUUGAACUGACGCUUGUAUCGAAUAAAACGAUCACGCUUCUAUUAUUAUUAUUAUUCGGAACCGCUUCGUAAAGUGCUUUUCGUCCUAGAUCACCCUUGCGACCUUUAUUAAAUACGAUGUGCGAAAUGCACAUUCUAAUUCCGCGGCAAUUACCGCCUGGACCUCGUGGCCGCGCGUGGCCUUAUGGUUUCUGGCGAUUAAGCGAUGUAGGCCAAUCGCGCGGCAAGAUCGCACACACCGGUAAAACGAUAAUUGGUUAUAAAGUACCAUUUGUUUCAUUCCUCCCCUUACGAUCACGGAGGAGAAAUAUCGAAUCAAAUCUUGUUUUAUGUUCUUUUCUUGUUGUUUCGUGCUCCUUUAUUCAAUACCUUACGCGUGUUUAUCUUUGUGACAAAACUGUUGUCGAGAGCGUGUGGAGCACAAUAAUCUCCCGCGCAUUUUAAUUGCUGCAGACAAUUACCGCGAUGACCCUGAAGAAGCAGGAUGAUCUUGCGAAGAACUCUGUGAGAUAAUAUUCUUUUUAUUUGCAAUUGAGUUAUUACGAAAAUAAAAUUUUGCAAUAGGGUGUCUCAUGUUUAGCAUCGAGGUCAUGUGUUCUUCAAAGUUUUCAAAAUAUCAUAUUACAUUUUAUGUGUGUGUGUGUGUGUGU